This is a long non-coding RNA of Oncorhynchus tshawytscha (Chinook salmon), 1075 nucleotides long. The record is from Ensembl. NCBI's taxonomy places the organism in Eukaryota, Metazoa, Chordata, Actinopteri, Salmoniformes, Salmonidae.
AUAUUUUUCUAUAUAUUUUUUCUAUAUAUUUUUCUAUAUAUUUUUUUUGUAGAUAUUUUUUCUAUAUAUUUUUCUAUAUAUUUUUUCUAUAUAUUUUACUAUACAUUUUUUUCUAUAUAUUUUUCUAUAUAUUUUUUCUAUAUAUUUUACUAUACAUUUUUUCUAUAUAUCUUUCUAUAUAUUUUUCUAUAUUUUUUCUAUAUAUUUUACUAUACAUUUUUUCUAUAUAUUUUUCUAUAUAUUUUUUCUAUAUAUUUUUCUAUAUAUUUUUUCUUUCUAUAUAUUUUUCUAUAUAUUUUUUCUAUAUAUUUUUCUAUAUAUUUUUUCUAUAUAUUUUACUAUAUAUUUUUUCUAUAUAUUUUUCUAUAUAUUUUUUCUAUAUAUUUUUCUAUAUAUUUUUUCUAUAUAUUUUACUAUACAUUUAGUCUCUGCCGUUUCAUUAUUUUCCUCCGAUUCACAAGAGGCUGAAUGUAUCCCACAUGAGAAGAGAUCCGAGUCAGCGAAACAGCGCCCCUCUGUCUCUCUACGUGUUGGCUCUAUCUAUCUGCUGCUGUCUGGUCAGAAGGAGGAUGACAUUGUUGCCGCCCGUAGUGUUGAAGGCAAAGGGCAGACAGUGGAGGUCGGUGCCGUUCAAAGAUGAGGGAGGACGGUUAUUUAUUCAUGAGCAUGACCUUAUUUAUAUUACAGCAUACUGGAUGAUUCACAUUCGUCCAGUUCAAUGUAACAGUGACAGGUUUAGGUUACUGUCAUUCAUAUUCACCCAGUUCAAUGUAACAGUGAUAGGUUUAGGUUACUGUCAUUCAUAUUCACCCAGUUCAAUGUAACAGUGACAGGUUUAGGUUACUGUCAUUCACAUUCACCCAGUUCAAUGUAACAGUGACAGGUUUAGGUUACUACAUGAUACUAGAAUGUUCCCUGUACCCAUCAUGAGGUUGCUACAGCCUAGCCUAUGAAUUCAAGUUUACAACGUAGGCACACAGGUCGAGAGAUACAUUUGAGGUGACAGACCGUGACAUUCAAUAUCGCCUUGCACACGCUUGCCUGCAUCUAGCUGAUCUAGGGUGUAGUCAUUAGU